Ascosphaera pollenicola is the source of this 107-nucleotide non-coding RNA. The record is from the annotation of a GenBank genome assembly. NCBI's taxonomy places the organism in Eukaryota, Fungi, Ascomycota, Eurotiomycetes, Onygenales, Ascosphaeraceae.
GACAAGAUGGCCGAGUGGUCUAAGGCGGCAGAUUUAAGCGGCCUUUUUGAAGGUACUGAAACUCUGCUAGUGGAAACACUGCGUGGGUUCGAACCCCACUCUUGUCA